UAAUACGUAGGGGGCAAGCGUUGUCCGGAAUUACUGGGCGUAAAGAGCGUGUAGGCGGAUUAUUAAGUCAGAUGUGAAAACUUGGGGCUCAACCGCAAGAGUGCAUCUGAUACUGGUAAUCUUGAGGGUAUGAGAGGAAAACGGUAUUCCUAGUGUAGCGGUGAAAUGCGUAGAUAUUAGGAGGAACACCAGUGGCGAAGGCGGUUUUCUGGCAUACAACUGACGCUGAGACGCGAAAGCGUGGGGAGCAAACAGGAUUAGAUACCCUGGUAGUCCACGCCGUAAACGAUGGGUACUAGGUGUAGGAGGUAUCGACCCCUUCUGUGCCGCAGUUAACACAAUAAGUACCCCGCCUGGGGAGUACGGCCGCAAGGUUGAA
Molecule: ribosomal RNA, 379 nt
Filed under: uncultured bacterium
Lineage: Bacteria
Description: bacterial SSU rRNA
Rfam family: Bacterial small subunit ribosomal RNA
Source: RNAcentral